This 215-nucleotide unclassified non-coding RNA is filed under the name Hevea brasiliensis (rubber tree). The record is from RNAcentral. Lineage: Eukaryota; Viridiplantae; Streptophyta; Magnoliopsida; Malpighiales; Euphorbiaceae.
AAUUUGGCUCAUGAUAUGAAUGAGGUUGGUUACACACAUGAUAUGAAAAUUUUGACUAUUUAUAUGAAUUGUACAUUUUUUUAAAAUAUUGUUACAUAAGAAGAGAGAGGGAAAGAGAUAGUGAUUAAUCCUUUGCUUUAAUAUGCUCAGGAAUUGGAUAGUGUUGACUUCGUGUAGCUCAAAAUGAGCAUCGAUUUUGAUGAUAACAAAACUCA